GGAUGAAGCUCAGUGGUAGAGCAUGUGCUUAACAUGCAUGAGGCCCUGGGUUUGAUCCCUAGUACCUCCA
RNAcentral lists this transfer RNA (70 nucleotides) under Ictidomys tridecemlineatus (thirteen-lined ground squirrel). RNAcentral describes it as "Spermophilus tridecemlineatus (thirteen-lined ground squirrel) tRNA". It matches the Rfam family "tRNA". Rfam says of the family: Transfer RNA (tRNA) molecules are approximately 80 nucleotides in length. Their secondary structure includes four short double-helical elements and three loops (D, anti-codon, and T loops). Further hydrogen bonds mediate the characteristic L-shaped molecular structure. tRNAs have two regions of fundamental functional importance: the anti-codon, which is responsible for specific mRNA codon recognition, and the 3' end, to which the tRNAs corresponding amino acid is attached (by aminoacyl-tRNA synthetases). tRNAs cope with the degeneracy of the genetic code in two manners: having more than one tRNA (with a specific anti-codon) for a particular amino acid; and 'wobble' base-pairing, i.e. permitting non-standard base-pairing at the 3rd anti-codon position. Lineage: Eukaryota; Metazoa; Chordata; Mammalia; Rodentia; Sciuridae. The record is from Rfam by way of RNAcentral.